AUUGAACGCUGGCGGCAGGCUUAACACAUUCAAGUCGAGCGGGGGAAGGUAGCUUGCUACCGGACCUAGCGGCGGACGGGUGAGUAAUGCUUAGGAAUCUGCCUAUUAGUGGGGGACAACAUCUCGAAAGGGAUGCUAAUACCGCAUACGUCCUACGGGAGAAAGCAGGGGAUCUUCGGACCUUGCGCUAAUAGAUGAGCCCAAGCCGGAUUAGCUAGUUGGUGGGGUAAAGGCCUACCAAGUCGACGAUCUGUAGCGGGUCUGAGAGGAUGAUCCGCCACACUGGGACUGAGACACAGCCCAGACUCCUACGGGAGGCAGCAGUGGGGAAUAUUGGACAAUGGGGGGAACCCUGAUCCAGCCAUGCCGCGUGUGUGAAGAAGGCCUUAUGGUUGUAAAGCACUUUAAGCGAGGAGGAGGCUACUCUAGUUAAUACCUAGGGAUAGUGGACGUUACUCGCAGAAUAAGCACCGGCUAACUCUGUGCCAGCCGCCGCGGUAA
Molecule: ribosomal RNA, 501 nt
Filed under: uncultured bacterium
Lineage: Bacteria
Description: partial 16S ribosomal RNA
Rfam family: Bacterial small subunit ribosomal RNA
Source: RNAcentral